ACCGUGGUAAUUCUAGAGCUAAUACAUGCUAAAAACCUCGACUUCGGAAGGGGUGUAUUUAUUAGAUAAAAAACCAAUGCCCUUCGGGGCUCCUUGGUGAUUCAUAAUAACUUAACGAAUCGCAUGGCCUUGCGCCGGCGAUGGUUCAUUCAAAUUUCUGCCCUAUCAACUUUCGAUGGUAGGAUAGUGGCCUACCAUGGUCUUAACGGGUAACGGGGAAUUAGGGUUCUAUUCCGGAGAGGGAGCCUGAGAAACGGCUACCACAUCCAAGGAAGGCAGCAGGCGCGCAAAUUACCCAAUCCCAAUUCGGGGAGGUAGUGACAAUAAAUACUGAUACGGGGCUCUUUCGGGUCUCGUAAUUGGAAUGAGUACAAUCUAAAUCCCUUAACGAGGAACAAUUGGAGGGCAAGUCUGGUGCCAGCAGCCGCGGUAAUUCCAGCUCCAAUAGCGUAUAUUAAAGUUGUUGCCGUUAAAAAGCUCGUAGUUGAACCUUGGACCUGGCUGAUCUGUCCUCCUAAUCGAGCGCACGGAUUCGGUCGGGUCUUUCCUUCUGGGGAGCCCUAUGCCCUUCACUGGGUGUAGUGGGGAACCAGGACUUUUACCUUGAAAAAAUUAGAGUGUUCAAAGCAGGCCUUUGCUCGAAUACAUUAGCAUGGAAUAAUAGAAUAGGACAUCGGUUCUAUUUUGUUGGUUUCUAGGACCGCUGUAAUGAUUAAUAGGGAUAGUCGGGGGCGUCAGUAUUCAAUUGUCAGAGGUGAAAUUCUUGGAUUUAUUGAAGACUAACUACUGCGAAAGCAUUCGCCAAGGAUGUUUUCAUUAAUCAGUGAACGAAAGUUAGGGGAUCGAAGACGAUCAGAUACCGUCGUAGUCUUAACCAUAAACUAUGCCGACUAGGGAUCGGACGGUGGUUUUUUUAUGCCCCGUUCGGCACCUUACGAGAAAUCAAAGUUUUUGGGCUCGGGGGGGAGUAUGGUCGCAAGGCUGAAACUUAAAGAAAUUGACGGAAGGGCACCACCAGGCGUGGAGCCUGCGGCUUAAUUUGACCCAACACGGGGAAACUCACCAGGUCCAGACAUGCUUAGGAUUGACAGAUUGAUAGCUCUUUCUUGAUUGUAUGGGUGGUGGUGCAUGGCCGUUCUUAGUUGGUGGAGUGAUUUGUCUGCUUAAUUGCGAUAACGAACGAGACCUUGACCUGCUAAAUAGCCAGGC
This 1209-nucleotide ribosomal RNA is filed under the name metagenome. Its description in RNAcentral is "SSU rRNA". It matches the Rfam family "Eukaryotic small subunit ribosomal RNA", at positions 146 to 1364 of the family's 1831-position model. The record is from RNAcentral.